GUCACCUGCCAGCCGCUGUCAGUCAAUCACUUAGCUGUGUUUGAAUCCGUGUGCGCUUUACCGUGUGUGUAUAUAUGUACGUUUUUUCAACCUCCAUAGCCCCCCAUGUGCGUGGCUGUGUGUACUAACUGCAUCAGACGAAGUCGAAAGCAUCAAGUCCCUCACAACACGUAGAUCAAGAUUAAGAGCACCCCGUUGCAAAGACACAAACAAAUCACCACCGCCACCACCACCACCACCAUGACUUCCCAGAGAGACGAGUCCACGCCCUUACUGGACUACGGUAGAGGGGUCAAGAUGCCUCACAGGUUCACGGAGACGCCCCCGCUCACUCCCUCACAGACUGCCCUUCCUGCCCACCCGGACAAGCCAAGUGGCAACCCUUUGGAAGCACCUGAGCGCUCGCCAUUAAUUCAGAAAGCCCAGGGGAGCGCAAACGGCCUACCUGUGUCUACUGUCAUAGUUUACAUUCUCGGCCUGCUUGGUGUGGCGCCCCUGGUCACUCUGCCUAGCGCUGUUGCCUACUGCG
Molecule: long non-coding RNA, 529 nt
Organism: Scylla paramamosain (green mud crab)
Lineage: Eukaryota; Metazoa; Arthropoda; Malacostraca; Decapoda; Portunidae
Exons: 3
Source: RefSeq, a predicted model, not a curated record